CGCGGAUAAAUACGGAAGUUUUGAAGAUAAUUGUGAAGAUCGGGAAAAAUGGAAUAUCUCCAUUUUUAUGCUAUGACGGCUUAAGGGCAGAAGAGUAAAAGCGUAAACCGACCUUGGAGCUAGUAUAUAAGGAGUCCUAGGCGAGGAGCAAGGGGGAGAACUUUUUAGAUUCGGAAUUCUCUGCACUUAGAAACUUUAGGCUUAUUCUCGACAAGUUCGGUUUCUAUGACUGGCACUCAAUUACUAGACGAACUCGCCCAGGCAGUUCGAUCUCUUGUCCAGCUCUAUCAAUUGAACUACGUUCGGCUUGAUCCUCGAAAGGGGUACGUAGGCAGCUUUAACAAGGUUCAGUCCGAAAUCAAUCUAAGCCUUUUAGAUAUCUUUUUCGUCCUUUGUUAUCGAGCUGCGACUCAACUAGGAUUAGGGUUUUAUGUUGCUAGAACUAGGUAACUCGCUGACGGCCCCUGCGGCCAAAGCCUUUGUAUUCUCUUGUAAUGAUCGCAACGCUCUUACGCGGACUCGAAAUGAGAUCUACUGUUUUCUCUAAACUCGUUUGUUAUCUUUUCAUGAUUUCCGCAUAUAUUCGAUCACUUGUCGUUGGCUCUCGCAGAGAUCCGGGACCUCUGGGAAAUUAGGGUUUUCCUAGUUUCCUUAUUUAAACGGAAAUCGACAGUGCGAAUUUCGGUUCCCACA
RNAcentral lists this long non-coding RNA (693 nucleotides) under Brassica rapa (field mustard). Its description in RNAcentral is "long non-coding RNA (BRAP_LNC008477)". Lineage: Eukaryota; Viridiplantae; Streptophyta; Magnoliopsida; Brassicales; Brassicaceae. The record is from RNAcentral.